GACGAACGCUGGCGGCGUGCCUAAUACAUGCAAGUAGAACGCACAGUUUAUACCGUAGCUUGCUACACCAUAGACUGUGAGUUGCGAACGGGUGAGUAACGCGUAGGUAACCUGCCUGGUAGCGGGGGAUAACUAUUGGAAACGAUAGCUAAUACCGCAUAAUAUUGAUUAUUGCAUGAUAAUUAAUUGAAAGGUGCAAUUGCACCACUACCAGAUGGACCUGCGUUGUAUUAGCUAGUAGGUGAGGUAACGGCUCACCUAGGCGGCGAUACAUAGCCGACCUGAGAGGGUGAUCGGCCACACUGGGAACGAGACACGGCCCAGACUCCUAAGGGAGGGAGCAGGAGGGGAACAUCGGCAAUGGACGAAAGGCUGACCGCGCAACGACGCGGGAGUGAAGAAGGUUUUCGGAUCGGAAAGCUCUGUUGUAAGAGAAGAAAGGGUGUGAGAGUGGAAAGUUCACACUGUGACGGUAUCUUAACAGAAAGGGACGGCUAACUACGUG
This 505-nucleotide ribosomal RNA is filed under the name uncultured bacterium. RNAcentral's name for it is "partial 16S ribosomal RNA". It matches the Rfam family "Bacterial small subunit ribosomal RNA", at positions 28 to 507 of the family's 1533-position model. The record is from RNAcentral.